Molecule: unclassified non-coding RNA, 212 nt
Filed under: uncultured fungus
Lineage: Eukaryota; Fungi
Description: sequence contains ITS1
Source: RNAcentral
GUAUUUGUGCGGUUAACGCAAGGUUUCAUUCUGAGACUUUUGUAAGGGUAUGUAUAGAUGCGGGCGGCUUUCGAAGGGCACUCAAGCCCCGCUACUGGAACGCCAACGCCAUGGUUCACAAGAGGGGUGGACAGGGUUGCGAGGAAGGGGCCUCUUGCGAGACCCCGACCCGUAAUUCUGUAAUGAUCCUUCCGCAGGUUCACCUACGGAAA